RNAcentral lists this long non-coding RNA (12846 nucleotides) under Triticum aestivum (bread wheat). Its description in RNAcentral is "long non-coding RNA (TAES_LNC010717)". The record is from RNAcentral. Lineage: Eukaryota; Viridiplantae; Streptophyta; Magnoliopsida; Poales; Poaceae.
GCGGUAUCUUAAUCUCUGAUCUGGCCCUGAUGCUUCUCCCAUCGAUAAAGAGCCAAGCUACUCAUUCUUGCUUCUCUCUCAAAAAAGGUUACUCACUCUUCCGUCUGGUUCCCGGUAGUUUCUUCAUCUACACAAACCGUACAGCGGUGCUGCUGGUGGCCUUGGUGUUCUCUUUGUUGUCCAGGGCGGUGUCCUUUUUACUACUGCUCUGUUUCCAGGUGCGAUUUACCAGCUUCUUGCAUACGUUUCAGCGUUUCUUUUAAUUAGCACAAAUCUUCAUCAGCGGCUAUGAGCAAAAUUCUUAUGUAUGAUGAAAUAUCUAAUAUCAACUCACCAGGAUGUUAAUUCUAUGUAAUUAAGUACUUGAUCUAGUAUCAGAGAGGCGAAAAGGGAGCGGCCGGCUCGAUCCCCAAAUCCCGCCGGUGAGGGCGCGGAUCCCUGCCUCCUCCGCUCGCUUCGGCGGCGGGAGGAGGCGGGGAUCCCGUUUCCCUGCCUCCGGCGUGUAGAUAGGGUAGGUGUAGUCCCCGGCGGCGUCGAGUUGGUGGUUGGUUCGCCGUCGCUUGCGUUGAAUAAAUCCGCCGUCUUCCCUCCCCCUCCCCCUUGCCGGCGCUGGACGUGUCGGCAUGUAGGCGGCGUGCUUUUCUCGCCGUUCUGCGGAUCGGCUGGUGGCUGGGAUCCCUCCUUCGUUGGUGGCAUCAACGGAUCGGAGGGAUAUUUUGUUCCUCGUGGGUCUCCGGGCCGCACGAGUUCUUGCCUCCUCGGGCUGGACGGCGAUGCGACGUUGCCGUCUUCGCCAUGUGAGUACUCUCCUACCCCUCCUCUUCGUCGACGCGCCGGCGUCUUCCCCAUCGACGGCGCGGGGGUGGGGUGCUGCUGUGCUUGUAGGGGUGGAUCUCAGGUUUAUGGAGUGGAUUCGACAGCGAUGGCUGAUCUCCCGGGGUGCUGGUCCUUUGCGGCCGAAGAUUGGAGACUUCCCGUUCGUCACGGUCGUCUUAAAAAGGGUGCUUGCUCCGGCGAUGGAGCGGCGAGGACGACGGCGCGCCACCAACUCGUGGACUUCAGUUCUCGUUGUGUGGUCUGAGGACCUGUUUGUAAUUUUAUUUGCUUUCGGGGUCCUUUGUACUGCUCCAGAUUUUGCAAUAUAAGCCUGUGAUCUUUUUCGCAAAAAAAAAAGAAGUAUUUGAUCUAAACGCUUUUAUAUUUUUUAUGGAGGGGGUACCUUGUAUAUGACGAUAACUUGUUUUGUGCGUGUAGUUGCAAAAGCUCGACAGGACGAAUGGCAGAGAUCAGGAGCGGUAGCAUGGUGAACAAGAGAGACCUCGAAAGUGAUCAGCCCUGCAAGCUGUCGCACCAAUUUAUAAGACAUAUUACAAAGGAUUUCGACGAAACACUGGUAAUUGGAAGUGGUGCAUUCGGGACAGUUUACAAGGUAUGACUAUGAACACAACAUUUUUGCCUUAAAUGCGGAAACAAUAAUAGUACGGAAACACUAACGCCUACACGUGUGGGCGUUCUCUAACUCGCCCACACACUUAGAUCGUCGUUCAUUGUCUUUUGUACGAAUCUUGACAUGAAAAGGUAGAUUUCGUGUGCCACGUAGAACAGGGCUGGUGUGUGGCGUUGGAGAGUUUGCCUACACGCUCGCACCAUUGUGUUUGCCAGCUGCGCUGUGUGGGUGAACUAGUUUCUACCCACACAGACAGCCACCUACUUCGUGCGCGUGUGGGCAAACUGCUUUUCGCCCACACGACACUCCUAUGAUGUGGAUGGCAACUGCAGUUAGGCGAACGUGGCAACUAGGUAAACACGCAUGACAACUGUGAUAUUUUGUUAGAUGACUACUGCAGUUACGCGUACGUGGCAACCAGAUAAACACACAUGGCAACUGUGAUUAACAAUACAUGACAAUUAUGAUUGAACCACACGUGGCAACUAGGUAAACACACAUGGCAACUACUGUUUGACCAUAUGUGGCAAGUAGUUAAUCCAAAUGACAACUACAGUUUGAUUACACGCGGCAACUACCAUAAAUUAGACAUGUCAACUAUAAUUAACCAAAACAGAUAGAGUUGCCAUACUUUUACAACUACACUUGCCAUCCCGCAUAACUACAUCUGCCAACCAGAUUGACAACUAAAUCGUCAUCCCGCGGUGUUCCUAACGUAGCCGCGUCAGGAAAUGUGGGCAUUUUUGCUUCGUGCCACACAAACGGGGUGAAGAUGAGUAGUAUUUAUUGGUGUGUGGCACGAAGCAGCCGCGCCCACACGUGUGGACAAUUCUAAUGUUCGCCCACACACAACCCGUGUGGGCUGCCUCCUACUCACACCACACAUGAUGUGUGGACACAUGUCGAAUAUACCACACGUGUGGCAGUUAUCGGCGUCCUAAUAGUAUACGUUGUGUAGUUAUUAAGUGUGGACCGUGAGACAAAUUUUGGAUGAGCACCAGAGAAUAUUAGGGAGGUUAUUAGGCGAAGAAACAAACCAGAACGAAGCGGAUCCGACGCCGAGAAAGACGCUGGCCGCCGCUUAAUGAAGCCCAGCAACGCACUGGUCUUGCCGGAGCCUCCUCCCCACGAGACGACACCUCAAAACGCCAUAAAGAACGCAGGCAAACUACAAACUACAGCUAUGAAGAAGAAAGGGAUGGGUCCCUCGCUCUACUCGCCGCCGGCCGAGCCGGAUAGGAGAGGGGAGGGGCCAGGGGAGAGAGAUCGGCGGAGGGCUGGAAGGGGAGGAAACGAGGAGAGCAGGAAGAAGAUCGUACCGAUGAAGACGGAUGGCUUUUUUUCAACACACUACAAGACGGAUGGCUGAUUCGUCACUGCCUGCUAUGCGUUCUAUCGGGAGUUCUCAAAUCGGCUGAUUGUUGUGUCGUAGUUCUUUUUCUUUUAGUAUAUAAAAAUCCCUGCUACGUCUGGUUUUGCUCUCCGGUUGAUUCCCCACAAAAUCUUCUCCGGAGAGCGUUUUUGUGCUUCAUCUCCAUCCACGGUUCUGUCCAAGCGGGUGGGUGUAGAUGGAAUACGUGUUUCAUCUACCACGCAGCAGUCCCCGUGAUGCUCCCCGCGAGUGUCCCAGGCGCACCCCAAAUCAACGCCGCCGGCCACCUACUACCCCUCGCCGCCGCCGGAGGGCGCCUCCGGCAAAGCCCGCGCGGCAAUGGCAGUGGCGGGGCCCUCCUCCCUCUCGCAAGGCGCGCGUGCGGCGCGGGGGCGCUAGGCGGGAGGUGCAGCGGAUGACUGGAGCCUGGAGGUGGCCAUGGGCACGCGGGCGGGGGCGUGCUAAGGGGUUCGGCGCGGAUCUGGCGCUCCGGUAGGUGCGAUGGCAGGGGGUUGGCUGCUGCUCGGGCGGCAGCCCGAGGUGGCCCGGUGGAGCCGCUUCGUUGUGAAGGAGCAGGGGCGCGCCUGAGGCUGCUGGAUCUUCUGCAUUCUCUAGCGGGCGUGGUGCGCGUGCGAGCUUGGUCGCGGCCAGGAACCGAGGUGGUUCAUGGCCUCGGGCAGCAUAUCUCUUGUCCCGUCGGCGUGCUGCUCGGCAUGGACAGGAGAUUCGUGUUGCGUCCGGUGACUCAGCUUUCGGUCAAUGGUUGGCGGUUCAACGAUGGGCUUCUUCGACUAUGAGCUGGCUCGGUGGUAGUGCAAGGUGGGUGCCGUUGUGAGAUGAUAUGCAGAUGAGGUGGUGUCGGGAGCUUGGGUGAAAACCAUGUCUUGGUUGUGGCCGUGACCUUCUUGGAGGCAUCGCUCUACUACUGUCGCACCCCCCCAGGGCGGAUCACUGCAGCUCCGGGGAAACCCUUUGAUCUUGUUUGAUCAGACGAUGGCAUCGCCUUGGUGUCGUUCUCUCUCCUGGGGGCUUUGUCUUUGGAGUUGGAUGUUGGCGAGCGGGACCAGUGGAAGACGGUGGUGUUGGCGUCGAGACUUCUGUGGCAACGAUGAUGGGGCGAGUAGUGUCGGAGAUGUGGUUAUGGUUGAGGUAGUCGGCUCUUCUCCGACAUGUCCGCAGGAUUGCCUCGGCUAGUUUGUUACUGUGAAGUUCAAGCUGCAGUGGCGGGGCCCGUUGGUAUACGAUGACAAGCAGCAGGUGGUUCGUUCAAUGAUCUUCUGCGGCGCCAGCCGUGCCUAGUUCUCCUUCGUGGUCGGAGCUGCGAUGUAGGGUCGCAGGUGGUUGGGUUUGGCGCGGAUCUUCAUGCGUCUUCACAUGGCCUCUUCAGUGUGGGUUGGGUCGAUGAUCGCCUACGCUGAAGUCGAAGUCGUUUGCUCAGGGUUUAGGGAUAGCGAUGAUGCCUUUAGGGGAAGAAUGAUGACGAUGACAUCUGUGUGCUGACUCGUGAGACCCUCUCUAGAGUGGUGUGUGGGGAACCUUGUGUGCCGCUUUACGGUUGUGAUUGUUUUGCCCGGUUCCAGUGGCGAAGCCAGCUCGACCGGUUGAGCCGGGGCAAAGUCCAGGACGCUCCUGCUUGCCGGUUGUUUGCCCCUGCAAAAUGAUGCUUGGCUCUCCAUUAACUAGCAAAAUGAUGCUUGGCUCUCCAUUAACUACUAGUGGUCAAAGGAGAAUGCAUGGCACAGCCCGGUUCUCCAUAAUCAACUGAACAAUCUGGUUUUCACUCGGUUUUUUCUAAAUAACCGGCAACUCCUUUUUUUAAUGAAUGCAGGAUAACUGCCAUUUUGAAAAUAAAAGGAAUACAUGUUUCUCCUGCUACCUUUGGUAUUCCUUCAUCUUCUCGGUGAUGUUUUUCCUUUCAAUUGCUUGCACGCCGGAGACUUGGCUGCUUGCCCCUUUCAACCUGGAGGCCUGCCCAACGGUCUAUGGGGACACCGUUCUCUUAGGCCUAAUUUGGUUGCAAUGGGGAGGUAACCCAGGGCCCUAAUCUCCCACGGGGGCAUUUCCAUGGACGCCGGGGAUCCUCUCCUCCCACCACGGAGAUAUCAGCACGUCAGUUUGGACGGCAGGGGAGAGGGGAGAAGAUCACGUCCCCAAAAAAUGCUAGAAAAGUUUCAGGUUGAGGGAGUUGGUUGGAUGAUGACCUGGUCUGUCGCCUUCGCCGCCGCCGCCGGUGCCGGAGGAGCUGCGCGUGGAGGCGGUUGUUGAGCGAGGCCGUGGGGGUGUCGCUUUCCAAUCAUCGGACGAGGAAGCACGGAGGCUGGAGGCGGACGCCAUUGGCUCUCGGUCCCUCGGUUGCGAGGAGAGAGUCGCAAGCGAAGGAGACAAGGGUUUUCUCCCUGACUUGUCGACGCUGGGAGAUCAGACCCGGGGACGGGUCGUGGUAAGGCCAGGGAUCUUCUCCCCUCGCAUCCUACCAAAUGGGUCUGUUUACUUACCCGGGCCCAACUUACCCUGUGGUUUGCCCACCCGUGGAAAAGGCUGGGAUCCCCUCGGGAUCCUUUUGAACCAAAUGGGGCCUUAGAGCAUCUCCAACAGGCGCCCAAUGCGCGGCGCGCUAAAAUCUGGUUUGCGACGCGCGCAACGCCGGGUUUGGUGCGUCGCGCAACGCUUGCUCCUGCAGUAGCGCUAAAAUGCAGCGCGCGCGAGCAGCCGACGCACAUAUUUGUUCUUACUUUGGGAACAAAUUUCACACUUCAACACAAAACACAUGACAUAUAUUGAAUCACAAACAUCAUUCCAACCAAGUUCGUGCCCAAAAGUUCAUGCACACAAGUUCAAAUUCAUGCCCACAACAUAAUAAUUAAACCAAGUUCAACAUGCAAACCAAGUUUAUGAUGACACAAACGAAAGACACAAGAAUCAAGCCUCUCCUCGUCUUCAUCUUCAUCUCUUCCUCCGAAGACGAUUCUUCCUCCUCCUCUUCAUUGUUGCACGUCGUAUCAUCAUCACGUGAAGCUCAGAAGGUGUUGUCAAGAUCUUGAAUGGCAUCUUCAUGCGAAGGUGGCAAACCGGCGUCCGGAGGGGCACCCAUGCCCCCAAUGAGAGACGCAAAACUCAUGCCACCCAUGCCACCCAUGCUUUCCAAGCCGCCCGGAGGUGCUCCAAAGCCACCCAUGCCUCUCAUUGUCUCCAUGGUAGCUCCAAAGCCACCCAUGAAACCCAUGCCGCCCAAGAUAGCUCCAAAGCCACCCACGGAACCCAUGCCGCCAAAGCCAUCGGCAUCCAUGCCGCCACCGCCACCAAUACCGCCAAGGCCACCGCCACCCAUGCGCCAAUCAUGGUUCUUUUUUGGAUCAAGACUUCUUCACGGGCAAGGUUGACAUACUUCUUUUGCGCAUCAUUGCACAAAGAUGUGUCCAAGAAGAACAAGUGCUUCUCUCAUUCCAACAACUUAGCUCGCUCCUCCAUCGCCAUCUUCCUCUCCUCCAAUGCCACUUUCCUCUCCUCGGCCGCCAACCUCCUCUCCUCGGCCGCGGCAUCUUGGUUCCUUGUCAUUUUCCUCACCUUGUUGGCUUCUCUUCUUGCGUUGACAAUUGCUUCUAUAGCAUUUUUUUAUCUCAUCAUCUCCUUUCCUCUUCUUCUUUUCUUUGUCCUUCUUCGUGCCAUCCGGUCGUUUUGGCUUCGAGUAUGAAACCGAGUUUGGGGUGGGGCUUCUCUUGCCAUCUUCACUUGAUGCAUCAUCCUCAUCAUCAUCUUCCAAAUUAAUUGUUUGCUUGUGUUUUUUUGCUCAAAUCCAAAUCAUCAAUAUCCUCACGCUUCUUCCAUUUCUCAUCAUCCUUCAAUACUUCAUAGCAAUGAGGCAAGGAAAAUGGCCUUCCUUUCUUGAUCUUCCCCUUCUUGGUCCUCUUCUCCUCUCCUUUGAACAAGUUUUUUGCAAUGUUUAACUACAUGAAAACAAAACAAGUUAGCACAAGAAACACCAACAACAAGCAUGAUGUGAACAUGAGGAAUGAUAAAACCACACUUACCCUAUCAUCAUCAUUGGUGCCACUUGGGUUCAACUUGUCAACCGCUUUUUGUGCGGCCAACCAUUGUUGACAAUCCCUAUUGAUGGUCGACCAAGGUGAUUGUGCGGAGCGGUCAAUUCCACUCAUGUUGCAAAGAUCAAAGUGUUCUUUCAUCCGGAGCCAAUAAGCAUCUCUACUUUGAUCACCUCCAAUGGAUGGAUCCCUCGACACUUGCAACCAAGUAUUGCAUAGUAAGAUGUCUUCGGCAUUGGUGUUUGCCCGCUCUUCCUUUCAGUGCGUCGACAAUGCCCUCACCAUCCUCGUCCACCUCGAAUUCAUGGUCUUCAAAAUGCAUGUCAUUGGUUUGAGACCAAUGCGAAUUGUUCGAGCCAACACCCAUAGUUGACAUGUAUGCAUCAUCGUUCACACUACAAAGUAUAUAGAACAAUGCAAUAAGCUAUCUAUAUGUAUGCAUUCAAAAAAUAAAGAAGGAAAAGGAGUUCGGGAUUUUUUUACCUUUGGGGCAUAUCGUCGAACACAUGGUGCGCGUCGGUCGCCGGCUCAACAAGUGCGAUCGCCAGCGCUUCGGUAGCCGCCGCGCUCGUCACACGCCCUGCAAGCUUCUUCCUCGGCGCCUUCGAGGUGCCGGAGCCGUCCGUCGUCUUCUUCUUCUUCGCGGAUGUCUUGCCCUUCUUCGGCCGCGGCGCAUUUGGGAACUUCGAGGUGCCGGAGUCGUCCGUCGCCUUGUUCUUCAUCACGGCGGGCGCCGGCACGACGCCACCAGCCGCCGAGGUCAUUCGCAGCGGCAUGAAGAGGGGGCGCGCGAGGCCGAUGCUCGAAGGAGCUCCUGCGAAGGUGUGGCCGACGCUCCCAGCGCUAGGGUUUGCGGCGGCGGUGGCGGCGGCGCUGGAGGGUUCGCGGCUGUAGGAUGGGGUGAGGGGAGUGCCGGCGCGUGGGUCCAUUGGGUCAGCUCGCCGGCGCCGGUGUGUGCGGCGUGAAGGUGGCGCGGGGGAGAGAGUGCGGCGCGAGCGCUUUUGUGUGCCGCGCGCGGAAGCCAGCUCCCCAAAUACGCAGCGCACGAUAGCGAUUCGGACCGCGCGCCCAACUCUAUAUGCCGCGCGCGCGAUUAUUGCACGCCCGCUAGAGACACACUAGCGAUUACGCGCGCGCUAAAAUGGAUUGCGAUGCGAUGCUUGUUUUGCGCGCCUGUUGGAGAUGCUCUUAGUGAGGCUGGUGCCGUUGCUUGGACAACUUCUGGUGACAUCAGCUCCGAUCAGAGACAUCAUUCCGCUGCCGGAUAUAAGGCUGCUCUGUGUAUUAUGGAUUCGCUGAAGCGGUUCCUGGUUCCUUAACGUCGUCGAAGCAUGUACUCCUUCUGUUCCUUAAUAUAAGUCGUUUUAGACAUUUCAAAUGGACUACAACAUACGGAUGUAUAUAGACAUAUUUUAGAGUGUAGAUUCAUCUAUUUUGCUUCUUAUAUAGUCAUUUGUUGAAAUCUCUAAAAAACUUAUAUUUAGGAACGGAGGGAGUACAUCAGCAUUAUCCAUGCCAUCGGCGAUAUUUCUUCUCCAGUCUCGAUGGCGGUAGCGGUGCUGGAUCAGUAGGCAGCCUCUUAGUCUCUUUCUUCGGCUUCAACCUUGCCGAGGCCGUUGUUACAUAGGACGCGAGCCGGGAGAGACUGUUAGGGACUUCGCAAAUCCGGUCUCCCACCUACCCACGAAACGCGACCGGACGCGUCCGUGGACACUAAUCAAGCAGACCUCAUAUUUAAUGUUAUGCAUUUGAGUAUCUCAUAUUUCAUCUUUUAUUAAAUCUAUACUCUUUUUGAAAAGAGGGGACAUCCCUCGGCCUCUGCAUCGAGUGAUACACACAAUCAUUUAUUUAUCAUAUGAAAGUUCAUCAUCCGACCAUAACAAAGUUCAACCAAUAAAUUGUCCCACAUGACUGCCCCAAGGGCAAAUUGAAAAAUAAAGAAUCAUAGGAAAAUGAGCUUCAUGCAUCACAAAUCCUACUAGUAGGCCGCCAACCAAAUUGGUUGAACAAACCCCAAAAGACCAUCUUCUAUUGGUUGCACCCAAAGACCGUGGGCGCCCGAUCCUCCUUGCGUAGUAAUGACCAUGUAUCAUGUAAAUCAUGUAAAAGAAAUUCAUAUGUACUAUGCAUCACGCUAGCCUACAUACGUUUCAUCAUCGAAGAUGUCCACGACAUCAUUGCUGGGCGCCGGGUAGAUGGGCGUGUAGGAGGGCUCCGGCUCCUCAUCCAUAUACGCGAGCAUCUCGUCGACGUCCGCGGCAUGCUCCUCCUCCGCCUCCUGUAGACGACGACGCUUGGCCUCCGCCGCCGAUUUUGACCGGAGAAAAACAAGGAUCGCCUGCUGCUCCGCCUGUAGAUGCGCGUCCCCAGCGUCCCACAUGACCUCCUCGUCCUCCUGCCGCUCUGCGUCCUCAUGAUCCUCCUCCACCUCCACCACCUCCUCCUCCUUCAAGUCCUCUGGAUCCACCGUGUCUGGAGGUAGCCCCGCGGCAAUCUGGGCUUCGUGCCUUGCUCGGAUCUGCUCAAGGAGUUGCAGCCGGUGCUCCGACGUUAGAUAUGGGUAGCUCUUUACCGGCGGCGUGGGGGUAUGGCUAUUAGUGGUGGUGGACGACGAGUGGAAAGUGGCAGCGGCGGCGGCGGCCGGAAGGAGGGAAAUGUGGAUGGGUAGGGUUUUGGUGCCGGCGGCCGGCUUAAAUAGCCAGGCUAGGGCACUAUGCGACACGCCGAAGCGGCGCUGCGCGGUGACGAAAGAGACAGGCUUCGGACCGUCGGGUUUUGGAGUGUGCUCCUGAGGGACCCGGCCAUCAGUCUGACGUGGCUCUCUUCAUAUAUGCCUUAUAUUUGGGCUGGAUAUGAGAGGGUGCCGGUCAGUCCGGGCAUUUGAAUAUGUUUGAAGCACCCGUCUGGGUCGGUUUUUUAACCGGUUAAUGAUCAGUCGUCCGCCCCAACAUAUAAGGAUGGUUUAGGGUGCCCCUGCUCUCAGUGUGCGCUGCAAGUCAUUGGUGGCAGCCGAAGCGGCAUAUUGUCUUCGAUAAGUCUUCUCAUGUCAUCUAUGCCCACAUGGAAGCCGUUCUAGCUACAUAAUUCAUCACACAACACACCGGAGUUCAUCGACGACAACGACAUUCGUAGUGUAGUUAUGGUUGAGCUAGCCGUGCGAAGUAUGUCGUGGUCGAUGUCGAGUCGGGGUAGACGGUGUUGAGGAAGUCACCAUGGAGCCGUGGGCGCAAGGAGGCGUCGAGUUGGUCAUGGGCACAAUGGUGUCGAAGUAGUGAAGGGAAUCAUCGUAGCAAUUUCCAAAGGUGGAAGUGAUAAGUAUGGAGUGUCAAACCCACAAGGAGCUAAAGGUAAGAUCAAUAUUCGCUCAAGCCCUAUCUGCCACUGAUACGACUCUACGUACACCGAACGUUUGCUUCCAACUAGAAACGAGAAAUAAAACUACAUUGUGGGUAUGAAGAGGAUAACUUUGCAUGAUAUCGGACAGCUAAAAUAUAAAAGUAGAUGUUGUUAUCAUAAAGUUGGAAUAUAUUAUUAAAUAUUAUAAAUAGCGAGUGUGCAAUAAUAAUGGAUGAGUGUGCGAUAUUAUCCUAGGCAAUUGUUAAUAAGACCGGUAGUCGUCAUUGCAAUUUCAUAUGAGGAGAGGCAUAAGCUAACCUACUUUCUCUUCUUGGAUCAUAUGCACUUACGAUUGAAACUCUAGCAAGCAUCUGCAACUACUAAAGAUCAUUAAGGUAAAACCCAACCAUAACAUUAAAGCAUCAAGUCCCCUUUGUUCUAUACGCAACAACCUCCUUACUCGGGUUUAUGCUUCUGUCACUCAAGCAACAGACUAUAAGCGAAUUAUAAACUUAUUGCAACAUCCUACAGCGGGAAUCCCUCACGCUUGCGCGACACGGAGGGCACAAUAAAAUAGCACCAAAAUAAAACAUACAACUCAUACCAAUCUAUAUCUUCAAUCAACCCAAAGACAAAGGAUAUCUACUCAAAAUAUCAAAGGAUGGCAACACAUCAUUGGAUCAUAAUAUAUGGCAUAAAGCACCAUGUUCAAGUAGGGAUUACAGCGAGGUGCGGGAUAGUGAACCGCGUAAAAAAGAUGAGGGUGGUGAUGAUAAUGGUGAUGUUGAUGAAGACAAUCACCGCGGCGAUGAUUACCCUCCCGAUGGCACUCCGAUGCCAUCGAGGGAGAGAAGGAGAGGUUCCCUCUCUGGUCCUUGGCCUUCAUGGUGAUGAUGGCCCCUUCGAGAUCCUCUCCCAUGGCCUCCGGUGAUGAUGGCCCCCUCUGGCAGGGUGCCAGAGAGGGCCUAGAUUGAUUUCUCGUGGCUAUAGAGGCUUACGGCGGCGGAACUCCCGGUCUAGGUUUCUUUUGGGGGGUUUCUAUAUUUAUAAGAAUUUUUAACGUCGGUUUCACGUCAGGGGGGUCUCCGAGUCGUCAACGAGAUAGGGGGGAGCGCCCAGGGGGUAGGGUGCACCCUCCACCCUCGUGGAUGGCUCGGGACUCUUCUGGUCCAUCUCCGAUGCUCCGUGGGCUUAUUCUGGUUCAUAAAAGAUCGUCAAAAAUUGGCACGUCAGUUGGACUCCGUUUGGUAUUUCUUUUCUGUAAAACUCAAAACAAGGAAAAAACCCGAAAUUGGCACUGGCCUCUAGGUUAAUAGGUUAGUCCCAAAAAUCAUAUAAAAUAGUAUAUAAAUGCAUAUAAAACAUCUAAGAUGGAUAAUAUAAUAGCAUGUAUACUUCAUAAAUUAUAGAUACGUUGGAGACGUAUCAGCAUCCCCAAACUUAAUUCCUGCUCGUCCUCGAGUAGUUAAAUGAUAAAAGAAAUAAUUUAUGAAGUGUGAAUGCUAGCAGGUGCACAAGUUUGAUCAAUGAUAAUUUCAAUCAAAUUUUCUAGCAUCAUUAUAUAACAUAGCAGUAGCUCAACUCAUAAAACUUCUCAUGAUCAAGUAACAAGCUAUUCACACAUUAAAGUAUAGAUCAUAAACAUUCUUGAAACUAACAAACCAUACUCUUAGUCAAACAACUGCAAUUCAUCUUAUUUUCGGGAAGGGUCUAUGUAAGAGCUUUGAUUCAGCAAACUCCACGUAUAUUUAGUCAUUCACAAUUGCUAAUAUUCAUGUGAUAUUUAGGGUUUAAAGUUUUAAUCGGACAUAGAGAAAAAUAGGGGCUUAUAGUUUCGCCUCCCAGCCUUUUACCUCAAGGGUAAUGUCAACCACAAUAAUUUAUGAAAACCUAUAUCCAAGUGGGUAUAUAUAUUCGGAUCGCUCCAACACAAAAUGUUUGCCAAAAGAAAAAGUGUAAAAAAAGGAAAGGUGAUGAUCAUCAUGACUCUUGUAUAAGGGUAGAAGAUAAAAGUAAAUGAUAGGCACUUCGUAGAGGGAAGCAGGGGUUGUCAUGCGCUUUUAUGGUUGGACACACAAAAUCUUAAUGCAAAAGAACGUCACUUCAUAUUGCCGCUUGUGAUAAAUACCUUUAUUAUGCAGUCCGUCACUUUUAUUUCUUCUCUAUCACAAGUUUAUAUAAAGCUUAUUUUCUUCUUCGCACUAAUAGAUCAUACAUAUUUAAGAAGCAAGUUUUAUUGCAUGCACGAUGACAACUUACUUGAAGAUCUUACUCAAUUCAUAGGUCGGUAUGGUGGACUCUCAUGGCAAAACUGGUUUAAGAGAUUUUGAAAGCACAAGUAGUAUGUCUAUUUGGUGCAAAGAAUUUGGCUAGCAUGAGAGGGAAAGGCAAGCUCAACAUGUUGAAUCCAAGACAAUAUAACGUUUAGGAUAUAGGAAAACAUAAUCCAUUAAGUUGCCUUCCUUGUACAACAUUAACCCUUUAGCAUGUCAUAUUUUAAUGAGUGCUCGCAAUUACAAAAAAUGUUCAAGAUAGUAUAUUUAUAUGUGAAAUCUCUCUUCCUUUAAUAUUUUUUCAUGAAUUGUUCAAGUGAUCAAUGUUGUGUUUGCUAAGUUUCAAUAAGUUUACUACCUAUAUUUAUUAUGUGUGAA